GACGAACGCUGGCGGCGUGCCUAAUACAUGCAAGUCGAGCUAGCGAAACUAACAGAUUUACUUCGGUAAUGACGUUAGGAAAGCGAGCGGCGGAUGGGUGAGUAACACGUGGGGAACCUGCCCCAUAGUCUGGGAUACCACUUGGAAACAGGUGCUAAUACCGGAUAAGAAAGCAGAUCGCAUGAUCAGCUUUUAAAAGGCGGCGUAAGCUGUCGCUAUGGGAUGGCCCCGCGGUGCAUUAGCUAGUUGGUAAGGUAAAGGCUUACCAAGGCGAUGAUGCAUAGCCGAGUUGAGAGACUGAUCGGCCACAUUGGGACUGAGACACGGCCCAAACUCCUACGGGAGGCAGCAGUAGGGAAUCUUCCACAAUGGACGCAAGUCUGAUGGAGCAACGCCGCGUGAGUGAAGAAGGUUUUCGGAUCGUAAAGCUCUGUUGUUGGUGAAGAAGGAUAGAGGUAGUAACUGGCCUUUAUUUGACGGUAAUCAACCAGAAAGUCACGGCUAACUACGUG
RNAcentral lists this ribosomal RNA (512 nucleotides) under uncultured bacterium. RNAcentral's name for it is "partial 16S ribosomal RNA". It matches the Rfam family "Bacterial small subunit ribosomal RNA", at positions 28 to 507 of the family's 1533-position model. The record is from RNAcentral.